GUGGGGAAUAUUGGACAAUGGGCGCAAGCCUGAUCCAGCCAUGCCGCGUGAGUGAUGAAGGCCUUAGGGUUGUAAAGCUCUUUCAGUAGGGAAGAUAAUGACGGUACCUACAGAAGAAGCCCCGGCUAACUUCGUGCCAGCAGCCGCGGUAAUACGAAGGGGGCUAGCGUUGUUCGGAUUUACUGGGCGUAAAGCGCACGUAGGCGGAUCGUUAAGUCGAGGGUGAAAUCCUGGAGCUCAACUCCAGAACUGCCUUCGAUACUGGCGAUCUUGAGUCCGGAAGAGGUGAGUGGAACUCCUAGUGUAGAGGUGGAAUUCGUAGAUAUUAGGAAGAACACCAGUGGCGAAGGCGGCUCACUGGUCCGGUACUGACGCUGAGGUGCGAAAGCGUGGGGAGCAAACAGGAUUAGAAACCCGGGUAGUCC
Molecule: ribosomal RNA, 425 nt
Filed under: uncultured bacterium
Lineage: Bacteria
Description: bacterial SSU rRNA
Rfam family: Bacterial small subunit ribosomal RNA
Source: RNAcentral